CGGGGUGUAUAAAGCGGCGGACGGGUGAGUAAUGCCUAGAAAUCUGCCUUAUAGUGGGGGACAACCAACCGAAAGGUUGGCUAAUACCGCAUAAUAUCUACGGAUUAAAGGGGCUUUCGGGUCUCGCUAUAGGAUGAGUUAGGUAGGAUUAGCUAGUUGGUGAGGUAAUGGCUCACCAAGGCGACGAUCCUUAGCUGGUCUGAGAGGAUGAUCAGCCACACUGGAACUGAGACACGGUCCAG
Molecule: ribosomal RNA, 242 nt
Filed under: uncultured bacterium
Lineage: Bacteria
Description: partial 16S ribosomal RNA
Rfam family: Bacterial small subunit ribosomal RNA
Source: RNAcentral